This is a long non-coding RNA of Dendronephthya gigantea, 1213 nucleotides long. RefSeq lists it as uncharacterized. NCBI's taxonomy places the organism in Eukaryota, Metazoa, Cnidaria, Anthozoa, Malacalcyonacea, Nephtheidae. The record is from RefSeq and is a predicted model, not a curated record. The transcript has 3 exons.
ACAUUCUCAUCACGAGAUCAUUCGUCCAACAAACAAAUAAGGUCAGCUUUCUUCCGAAGCGACCGACAAUUGCCCGACUGUUAAGUGCUCGACGAUUUUGUCACCACAUGCAAGACGUUUUAUUUCAAUAAUUCGGGUUUCAAGUUUAUGACCAAGUUUUGGUCGCUGCAUGUGUGCAGGCCGUCGUCUAGUAUCGAUGAGUAGGAGGGAGAGCAUUACUGCGUAAACAGCACAAUCAUACGUUUAUCUUAUCGAUAUGCUAUCAAUUCAUCUUAAGAAUAGGGAGAUAAGCGAUGCCACGUCAUGUCAACUUGUAAGGAAUAAACAUAUCGCAGUUUACGGCACCCCGCAAGUUAUUUUCCGGCUCACAGCUGUCAAGAAGUAGAGGCGCUACGUUGAGGGACCCUGAAUUGUCGUUAAAAUCGUUCAAUACAAGCUUUUAAUAGUUUUCUCAGUACAGUUCUAACGUUGGUGACUUAAUGACGCAGUUAGUAAAUAGAAUUUUGCUGAGCAUCUCGCUGAUUACAACUGGUUCAGCGUUACACUGUUAUACAUGUAAACCAAACAAAACGUUGGCUAUUAAACCUGGAGAAUCUUCUUGCGUAGCAAAAAAAACAAAUUGUAAGAAUGCUUCUCACUGUCUGAGCAUUCGCAGGACCAUCUCGAAUUCCGUGUUGACGUAUAAGACAUGCGCGGAAAGUAAUCGUACAUGUGUCUCCGCUCACGUAGCUUGUCUGAAAUUAUUGAACAGUUCAAAAGCGUUGGAAUGCAAGGUACAUUGUUGUGAUGGCAAUUUUUGUAACCUCGAAGUGUAUAAUCAAUUAGUUACGAAUGGCGUCAGCUCCGUACCAGUCUCCAUAGCAACGCUGAUGAUGUUAUUGUGGCAUCUUCAUCAUCUGUGUGAUCUUUCUUUCACCUAAAAGGUGGUUCUGCUUGGUUGCUGUUCGUGAAUACAUUGAUUAACGUGGUGAACUAGAAUAUUUACAAUUGACCAAUCUUUACAAUUGACCAGCUACUGAUUUGCAUAUUGCGCGUAUAAACUUUUAAAAAAUGUUCAAUCGAUGAUGGAAAGAGGAACGUCUCCCAAAAACAGCACUUAAAUAGUUAGUUCUUGUAAAUAGGUAAAUAUUAUAAAGUAAUGAUUGAAUGAGACAAUUGAGCAGCAAAGCCAAGGUAUAUAUAUAUAAAACAAACUGACUAUAUUUAUACAAUU